This 123-nucleotide non-coding RNA is filed under the name human gut metagenome. RNAcentral describes it as "FMN riboswitch (RFN element)". It matches the Rfam family "FMN riboswitch aptamer (RFN element)". Rfam says of the family: The RFN element is a highly conserved domain that is found frequently in the 5'-untranslated regions of prokaryotic mRNAs that encode for flavin mononucleotide (FMN) biosynthesis and transport proteins. This element is a metabolite-dependent riboswitch that directly binds FMN in the absence of proteins. The record is from RNAcentral.
AUCUUCAGGGCAGGGUGAAAUUCCCGAUCGGCGGUACAGUCCGCGAACAGGCCGGCGCUUGCCAGGCCUGCCGAUCCGGUGCGAUUCCGGAACCGACAGUGACAGUCUGGAUGGAAGAAGAUG